AAACUGAGGAAACUCCAUCCACCAUUUGAAACCAUGAUGUUCUUAAUUGACAUACACUAAGAAGUGUGACACUGAUAUAGAAACGAUACGAUAGGACUAAACUAAGGCCGUAAUGAAUGAUGCAAUUGGGUUGACUAGCCUUGACAUAGUAAAUCGGUGAAACGAUCUAAUCCAUGGGGUGCAAGAGUAAAUAGUCAUUUGACAAGGUAACUUGCUUAGAUUAAUGCUGCAUAGAAACAUGAGAUGGGUUACUACCGGCAUGC
This 263-nucleotide RNase P RNA is filed under the name Methanosphaera sp. rholeuAM130. RNAcentral describes it as "partial RNase P RNA component". It matches the Rfam family "Archaeal RNase P", at positions 30 to 288 of the family's 288-position model. From Rfam's summary of the family: Ribonuclease P (RNase P) is a ubiquitous endoribonuclease, found in archaea, bacteria and eukarya as well as chloroplasts and mitochondria. Its best characterised activity is the generation of mature 5'-ends of tRNAs by cleaving the 5'-leader elements of precursor-tRNAs. Cellular RNase Ps are ribonucleoproteins. The record is from RNAcentral. Lineage: Archaea; Methanobacteriati; Methanobacteriota; Methanobacteria; Methanobacteriales; Methanobacteriaceae.